RNAcentral lists this ribosomal RNA (460 nucleotides) under uncultured bacterium. RNAcentral describes it as "partial 16S ribosomal RNA". It matches the Rfam family "Bacterial small subunit ribosomal RNA", at positions 338 to 795 of the family's 1533-position model. The record is from RNAcentral.
CCUACGGGGUGCAGCAGUGAGGAAUAUUAGUCAAUGGCCGGAAGGCUGAACCAGCCAUGCCGCGUGAAGGUCAGUGCCCUAUGGGCGUUAAACUUCUUUUGUGCGGGAGCAAUAAUGGUCACGUGUGGCCAGACGAGAGUACCGUACGAAUAAGCAUCGGCUAACUCCGUGCCAGCAGCCGCGGUAAUACGGGGGAUGCAAGCGUUAUCCGGAUUUAUGGGGGUUAAAGGGUGCGUAGGCUGGGAGGUAAGUCAGCGGUGAAAUGCCCCCGCUCAACGGGGUGAAGUGCCAUUGAUACGGCCUUGAUGGAAUGCGGAUGCCGUGGGAGGAAUGUGUGGUGUAGCGGUGAAAUGCAUAGAUAUCACACAGAACACCGAUUGCGAAGGCAUCUCACGAAUCCGCGAUUGACGCUGAUGCACGAAAGCGUGGGUAUCAAACAGGAUUAGAUACCCGAGUAGUC